AAAUCCAGGGGAACACAGUCUCUGAGUGAGAAGGGUUCGUGGCCUUAGAUCCAGCACUGCCUCCUGCCCAUCGCAGAGUGAGCCCUGUACAUCAUCACCAAGUGAGGUGCUUUAGAGCAGACUCCCGCACCAUAUAGACCCUCCCUCCAGUGUCUGGUUUCUGCUUGAGAACGUUCACAUUCAGGAAGCCCUCCACUCUGGCAGCCCAUUCCAUUGUUGAAUCCUUCCAGCUCCUAGAGACCUUUCCUUCCACACCUAACUUCCUUGUAACCUCACCACGGGCCCAGCUUCUGCCCUUAGGAGCUAGGAUGAAAUCAACUGCACAGACCCAAUGCCAGGUCUCUAGGUUGGAGACAUCCCAGCUGAAUCCUGGCCCCCUUCUCUGGCCUUCAUUAUCCCUGUUCCUUCAGUCACCACUCAGGUGCAUUUGUUUUGAGACUACCUCGUCACUGUAUUGCAGAGGCAAGACUGGCACCAGUGGUUAAGCAAUAAUAUGAGCCACCUUAAGACUAGGAGUCAAAUUAGUUCUGUAGCUAUACAAGUGGGCGUGGACUUGUACAUGCACAUGUGCGUGCAAGUGCACCAUUAUGGGAUAGCAGCAUGUUGCCACUGACAGGACAAGAGUGUUCUCCUUGUUUCUACAGGCUUAUCUGAGCCCUCAAAAGGAUUAACAAAGAAACCAACACAUAGGCCAUUCUUCUCCAUGGAGUGCCUUGAUUAGGCCUCUUGAACAUGGAGAGGGACAGAUGUAGGCACUCAAGGAAGACAUGGAAGAGGGAGUGAGGCUCGCGCUCACCUUGAACCUGGACUCUGGGUUCUUUGGCAUAGAAAAUACCUUGAAAGCUGUACGGGUACCCAUUGUCUGUAUCCAAACCUGAUGUGUGCUGGGACCAUUUCAGCGACUGAACUACUAGAAAUCGAUUUCUGAGCACUAACACCCAUCCAGGUCAGGAAUCCAGCAACUGAACCAAUGAAUGCAGCCAAAGAGCGAGAAAUAAAUUUCCUGUUUUCCCACUA
Non-coding RNA from Heterocephalus glaber (naked mole-rat), 1017 nucleotides. The record is from RefSeq and is a predicted model, not a curated record. Lineage: Eukaryota; Metazoa; Chordata; Mammalia; Rodentia; Bathyergidae.